Molecule: long non-coding RNA, 785 nt
Organism: Carassius carassius (crucian carp)
Lineage: Eukaryota; Metazoa; Chordata; Actinopteri; Cypriniformes; Cyprinidae
Exons: 2
Source: RefSeq, a predicted model, not a curated record
UCAAUUACUACAUUGCAAAAGCCCUAAAAACAGGGUUAUACAGAAAAUCUCAGAUUACAGACAACCAACAGUUUAGUACGUAUUGUUCUUGUGCUGUCCUAAAGGAAUAUUCUGGGUUCGGUACAAGUAAAGCUCAAUCAACAGCAAUGGGGAUAUAAUGUCAAAAAAAUAUAUAUAUUUUGAACAAUACCUCACGGGUUACAGUGAGGGGCCCAAAAUUGAAGUAAAUGGAGUCAAUAAUGGGGACGUAAAUGUUAAAAUAAUCACUGUGUCAACAGUAAAGACACAAGAGAUUUUCAAUUAUUUUAUAUCCUUUUAGUGUGGAGGAAAUUAUUUCUAACCAUUUCUGUGUAAAGUUAUAUAAGUUUGUUUCAACAUGACAACUCUAAAACAACCAUAAAAUGAAAACAAAUAUGAGCUGUAAUGUCAUGAGAACAACUUCACAGUUCAAAUAACACAGAUGUUUUAACAAAUUUGUCAUGCUUACAUGAAGUUAUAAAUUUAACAUCUAAACUGUUAAAGUCUCAAAAACUGGCAAUUCAGUUUGGACAUUUGGAAAUGUCUUACCACAAUCUUAGAGAGAGAGAGAUGGAAAAAUUAUGUUUUGAUAAUCAAAACAAAUGCUGCAGAUUCAUCUUAGCUUGUACAGAACCUGGAAUAUUUUUUUUUUUAUCUGUCUUCAGUUCAUUUAUUAUGUAUAAUGCACUGUGGCUAUACAGCAAGUGCUACGUUGGAAGUUUUGAAUUUGAUGUUGACAAUGAAUUUCAAUAAAAAGAGCAUUGAUA